AUCCCUGUGGCCUAAUGGAUAUGGCAUUGGCCUCCUAAGCCAGGGAUUGCGGGUUCGAGUCCCGCCAGGGAUG
Molecule: transfer RNA, 73 nt
Organism: Thelohanellus kitauei
Lineage: Eukaryota; Metazoa; Cnidaria; Myxozoa; Bivalvulida; Myxobolidae
Rfam family: tRNA
About the family: Transfer RNA (tRNA) molecules are approximately 80 nucleotides in length. Their secondary structure includes four short double-helical elements and three loops (D, anti-codon, and T loops).
Source: Rfam